RNAcentral lists this unclassified non-coding RNA (314 nucleotides) under plant metagenome. Its description in RNAcentral is "partial contains 5.8S ribosomal RNA, internal transcribed spacer 2, and large subunit ribosomal RNA". The stretch from base 1 to 105 matches the Rfam family "5.8S ribosomal RNA", at positions 50 to 154 of the family's 154-position model. The record is from RNAcentral.
GAAAUGCGAUAAUUAAUGUGAAUUGCAGAAUUCAGUGAAUCAUCGAGUCUUUGAACGCACAUUGCGCCCCCUGGUAUUCCGGGGGGCAUGCCUGUCCGAGCGUCAUUGCUACCCUCAAGCACGGCUUGUGUGUUGGGCUUCCGUCCCUGGCAACGGGGACGGGCCCAAAAGGCAGUGGCGGCACCAUGUCUGGUCCUCGAGCGUAUGGGGCUUUGUCACCCGCUCCCGUAGGUCCAGCUGGCAGCUAGCCUCGCAACCAAUCUUUUUAACCAGGUUGACCUCGGAUCAGGUAGGGAUACCCGCUGAACUUAAGC